UUGGGAAUAUUGGACAAUGGGGGAAACCCUGAUCCAGCAAUGCCGCGUGGGUGAUGAAGGCCUUCGGGUUGUAAAGCCCUUUUGGCGGGGACGAUGAUGACGGUACCCGCAGAAUAAGCCCCGGCUAACUUCGUGCCAGCAGCCGCGGUAAUACGAAGGGGGCUAGCGUUGUUCGGAAUUACUGGGCGUAAAGGGCGCGUAGGCGGCCGUGCAAGUCAGAUGUGAAAGCCCUGGGCUCAACCCAGGAGGUGCAUUUGAUACUGCAUGGCUAGAGUGUCGGAGAGGAUGGUGGAAUUCCCAGUGUAGAGGUGAAAUUCGUAGAUAUUGAGAAGAACACCGGUGGCGAAGGCGACCAUCUGGACGACAACUGACGCUGAGGCGCGAAAGCGUGGGGAGCAAACAGGAUUAGAUACCCUGGUAGUCCACGCCGUAAACUAUGCGUGUUGGACGUUGGCGAGCCUAGCUCGUCGGUGUCGCAGCUAACGCGUUAAACACGCCGCCUGGGGAGUACGGCCGCAAGGUUA
This 524-nucleotide ribosomal RNA is filed under the name uncultured bacterium. RNAcentral's name for it is "bacterial SSU rRNA". It matches the Rfam family "Bacterial small subunit ribosomal RNA", at positions 355 to 896 of the family's 1533-position model. The record is from RNAcentral.